AUACGUAGGAUCCGAGCGUUGUCCGGAUUUACUGGGCGUAAAGGGUGCGUAGGCGGCGUGGUAAGUCUCAUGUGAAAUCUCCCGGCUCAACUGGGAGGGGUCAUGGGAUACUGCCAUGCUCGAGGGCAGUAGAGGAGAGCGGAAUUCCGGGAGUAGCGGUGAUAUGCGUAGAUACCCGGAGGAACACCCGUGGCGAAAGCGGCUCUCUAGGCUGUACCUGACGCUAAGGCACGAAAGCGUGGGGAGCAAACCGGAUUAGAUACCCCAGUAGUCC
Molecule: ribosomal RNA, 274 nt
Filed under: uncultured bacterium
Lineage: Bacteria
Description: partial 16S ribosomal RNA
Rfam family: Bacterial small subunit ribosomal RNA
Source: RNAcentral